Molecule: non-coding RNA, 846 nt
Organism: Pelobates cultripes (western spadefoot toad)
Lineage: Eukaryota; Metazoa; Chordata; Amphibia; Anura; Pelobatidae
Source: the annotation of a GenBank genome assembly
CUAAUUAUUAGCCUGUUAAUGCUAGAGGGUACACAAGGAAAAAAAAAAAAAAAAAAAGUCAGCAUUGGUUUUUGAAGCAGUUUUUGGCAGACAGUCACUGCUCAAACAGCCCAACCCUAGUUCUGGAGGAGGGCGGUCCUGUGUCUGCCUUCAUUUUACUUCAGGAAAAAGAAAGCUUUCAGUGGAACAGUGAUUACCCCACCUCCAGCCCUCUCUCCCGGUCUGUGGGCUUGUGUCCAUCUGCUUCUAGGGAAGAGGGACCUCCUUGCAAACGCUCCCCCCUCCUUUUCUGUGUCAUACACAGUGAUUACUGCUGGGGUCAACCUCAGCAAGCCCUGCAGGUCCCACCAUCAGUUCCUCCGGCUUCACCACACACAGAUGCCUUCAGGAGGGACUGCUAGGGAUCCGCUGUGAGACUUCCCAGGAUUUGAAAGCUUCUCCAAGGGCUGGGAAGGAAAGAAACAAGGGGGACGCAUUUGCUUUGUUCUUGUUUUAUUCUCCCUCCUCCUUCUCCUAUCUGGAGAUCAGCUUGUACUUUACAAGAAGUCAGAACUGCAACUUUACAUAUAAAGGGGAGAGAGAGUUUGUGUGUGCUGUAGUAAGGGAGGGCCAGGGUCCCUGCUGACUGAAAGCUGGGAUUUCCACUCUGUGGCCCUUUCUUUUAUUUUUGAUACAUAGUGUCUUUAGUAUCAUUGUUUCAAUUAUUCCAAGUGCGACUGGAGGAUGGCUGGGUGCUGUCUGUCUGCAGAGGAGAAGGAGUCCCAGCGGAUUAAUGCAGAAAUCGAGAGACAGCUCCGCAGGGAUAAGAGAGAUGCUAGGAGGGAAUUAAAGCUGCUUCUCCUGGGU